AGCUUGCUGCUUUGCUGACGAGUGGCGGACGGGUGAGUAAUGUCUGGGAAACUGCCUGAUGGAGGGGGAUAACUACUGGAAACGGUGGCUAAUACCGCAUAACGUCGCAAGACCAAAGAGGGGGACCUUCGGGCCUCUUGCCAUCAGAUGUGCCCAGAUGGGAUUAGCUAGUUGGUGGGGUAACGGCUCACCAAGGCGCAUCGAUAGUCAACUGAUGCAUGUGUCGUAGCUACGAGGCAGUCGACCAGUCCACGAUGUCAGCAACUGACUGACACCGUCCAGACUCCUACGGGAAGCAGCAGUGGGGAAUAUUGCACAAUGGGCGCAAGCCUGAUGCAGCCAUGCCGCGUGUAUGAAGAAGGCCUUCGGGUUGUAAAGUACUUUCAGCGGGGAAGAAGGUGUAGUGGUUAAUACCCGCAUGCAAUUGACGUUACCCGCAGAAGAAGCACCGGCUAACUCCGUGCCAGCAGCCGCGGUAAUACGGAGGGUUGCAAGCGUUAAUCGGAAUUACUGGGCGUAAAGCGCACGCAGGCGGUAUGUUAAGUCAGAUGUGAAAUCCCCGGGCUCAACCUGGGAACUGCAUCUGAUACUGGCAGGCUAGAGUCUCGUAGAGGGGGGGUAGAAUUCCAGGUGUAGCGGUGAAAUGCGUAGAGAUCUGGAGGAAUACCGGUGGCGAAGGCGGCCCCCUGGACGAAGACUGACGCUCAGGUGCGAAAGCGUGGGGAGCAAACAGGAUUAGAUACCCUGGUAGUCCACGCCGUAAACGAUGUCGACUUGGGAGGUUGUGCCCUUGAAGCGUGGCUUCCGGAGCUAACGCGUUAAGUCGACCGCCUGGGGGAGUACGGCCGCAAGGUUAAAACUCAAAUGAAUUGACGGGGGCCCGCACAAGCGGUGGAGCAUGUGGUUUAAUUCGAUGCAACGCGAAGAACCUUACCUACUCUUGACAUCCACAGAACUCUGUCAGAGAUGCACAGGUGCCUUCGGGAACUGUGAGACAGGUGCUGCAUGGCUGUCGUCAGCUCGUGUUGUGAAAUGUUGGGUUAAGUCCCGCAACGAGCGCAACCCUUAUCCUUUGUUGCCAGCGGCUAGGCCGGGAACUCAAAGGAGACUGCCAGUGAUAAACCCGAGAAAAGAGGGAAUGAACACUCAAGUCAUCCUAUGGCCCUCACGACCAAGGCUCACACACGUGCUACAAUGGCAUAUACAAAGAGAAGCGCACCUCUGCGAGACCAGAGCGAACCUCAUAAAGAAUGUGCCUGAGAUCCGGAUUGGAGUCUGCAACUCGACUCCAUGAAGUCGGAAUCGCUAGUAAUCGUGGAUCAGAAUGCCACGGUGAAUACGUUCCCGGGCCUUGUACACACCGCCCGUCACACCAUGGGAGUGGGUUGCAAAAGAAGUAGGAAGC
This 1405-nucleotide ribosomal RNA is filed under the name bacterium 118_39. RNAcentral describes it as "bacterial SSU rRNA". It matches the Rfam family "Bacterial small subunit ribosomal RNA", at positions 77 to 1434 of the family's 1533-position model. The record is from RNAcentral.